This is a non-coding RNA of Schizosaccharomyces pombe (fission yeast), 434 nucleotides long. NCBI's taxonomy places the organism in Eukaryota, Fungi, Ascomycota, Schizosaccharomycetes, Schizosaccharomycetales, Schizosaccharomycetaceae. The record is from the annotation of a GenBank genome assembly.
CUAUUGUUGCUUAAUCAAUCGCAUGCUACUAAAAUGUGAGCCUUAUAAAAGCUACUCGACGUAAGAUACGCAAUUUAAACUUUUGAACCAGCUUACAAAAGCAAGUAAUGACUAUAAAAGGAUCAAUGUAUUUUGAUUUUCAUAACCGAAACAAACCACCUAAUACACGGUAUUGGAAGUAAAGGGGAGGAGAGACUAAAAAGAUAAAAACCCUGCAAAAAACAUGACAUGCCGGAAACCAAAAUUUUUAAAAAAAGAAAAAAAAGAAUAAAGAAAGAAGGCUUUUGGGUAGGAGUAUAUACAACGAUUAGAGCAUAAAGAGGAAACAUGGUAGAAAAACCCACUUAAUAAAAUAAACCUUAUCCUUCCGAAAAAUUUUAAAUAGCAUCGACAUCAAACUCAAAGUCAAGAUCAUCCUCUCCUUCAGCGCCAAA